Molecule: ribosomal RNA, 494 nt
Filed under: uncultured bacterium
Lineage: Bacteria
Description: partial 16S ribosomal RNA
Rfam family: Bacterial small subunit ribosomal RNA
Source: RNAcentral
GACGAACGCUGGCGGCGUGCUUAACACAUGCAAGUCGAACGGUGAAGCGCCUUCCUUUUUGGUGGGUGUGGAUGAGUGGCGAACGGGUGAGUAACACGUGAGUAACCUGCCCCCUUCUUCUGGAUAACCGCAUGAAAGUGUGGCUAAUACGGGAUAUUCUGGGUCUGUCGCAUGAUGGGUCUGGGAAAGAUAUUGUUUCGGUGGGGGAUGGGCUCGCGGCCUAUCAGCUUGUUGGUGGGGUGAUGGCCUACCAAGGCGGUGACGGGUAGCCGGCCUGAGAGGGUGGACGGUCACACUGGGACUGAGACACGGUCCAGACUCCUACGGGAGGCAGCAGUGGGGAAUAUUGCACAAUGGGCGCAAGCCUGAUGCAGCGACACCGCGUGAGGGAUGGAGGCCUUCGGGUUGUGAACCUCUUUCGCCAGUGAAGCAGGCCUGCCUCGUUUGUGGGUGGGUUGACGGUAGCUGGAUAAGAAGCGCCGGCUAACUACGUG